CUGUUUUCCUUUGUACAGACCAUGUUUGCAAGGUAGAUUUCUGUUAUUUCGAAGUUUUUUUGUUUUUUUUUUCUUUUUCCUCAGUGAUUGCUUUGGAGAGCAAUGGUUGUAUAUCAAAGGGUGUAAAUGGCAUCUUUUGGGUCUGUGUUGGUAAGAGUGUUGGCCGCACUUUCGCUAACAUUAUUCCUUAGGGGAAGUUUCGAACUAAUGUGACUACUAUGUGCUCUCUUUAUUGCACUUUUAUUUUAGUGCGGUGUGUACUUGUUUGAUACAACCCCAUUUUAGCAGAAUUUAAGGGGGGUGUAUGUAACAUAGUUAAAAUGGUUCAGGUUAAAUCCUGCUAAAAUGCACCAUCUGCUGGUAAAAAGUCGUAUUGUAUUCACCUUAGAAAGAGCGGGGUAUUAUGGGUAAUCCUCAGAGUCAUGAGGAUCAUUGACGAGGUAACGUGUCUCUGCUGUGAUAAAGAAAUAUUAUUCAUGCAUUUUAUAAAAUAUGUUUAUGGUUUCUGUUUUCUUGCAUAUUAUUGAAAUAUGUUUAAUCCAGGUCACGCCAGUUCUGCUAUUAUAUUGUUUUGUCGUGUUUAAGAAUCGUUUAGUUUGUGAGAAAGUGUGAUGGGAAUUUCCCACGCGGUAACACUAUGGCUCCUCCUUGCAGGAGCUUGUUUAUGCCAGAGACUGACCUUAUCUCGAUGCCCAUUGUGUGAAAUGCAGAUGGAGAAUUAAAGAAAAAUAUCUGAUGCCAACUUGAGCUCCUUGUCAUUCAUUGCAACACCAAGAGAAGGCACCAGUUCCACAUAAGCCACACGUGCUUCUGGGACCACAAAGUUUCUCUGGCCGUUAGGUUUAGCUCCCAUCAGGUUUCAGGGCAGAACUAUGAAGAGCUUAAAAGAACUGUAAAUUUGUGUGUUAGUUCAAUUAAAGUCACCAAAAACUGUUUUCCAUUUACCUGAAACAGGAUUCAGGUUUCAUUACGUGAGGUUAAAACAUGGCCUCAGACUGGAACCUGUCAUAAUAAUGCAUUUCAAAAACAGCUGGGAACAAUAGUUUAGCAGCAAUAAUAAUGUUCAACCAAAUUCAGCAUUCUACAUUUACAUGACUAAAUGUUUUUAUUAAAUAUUGUAGUUAAAUUUUAUUCUGUAGCCAAGAGUAUGAUUCAUGUUGAUGAGGAAAUAAAAACUUUCUGAAUCAG
This is a long non-coding RNA of Girardinichthys multiradiatus, 1188 nucleotides long. RefSeq lists it as uncharacterized. The record is from RefSeq and is a predicted model, not a curated record. The transcript has 2 exons. Lineage: Eukaryota; Metazoa; Chordata; Actinopteri; Cyprinodontiformes; Goodeidae.